UACGUAGGCAGCAAGCGUUGUUCGGAGUUACUGGGCGUAAAGGGUGCGUAGGCGGCUCUAUAAGUAUGGUGUGAAAUCUCCCGGCUUAACUGGGAGGGUGCGCCGUAGACUGUGGGGCUAGAGUGUGGGAGAGGAAAGCGGAAUUCCUGGUGUAGCGGUGAAAUGCGUAGAUAUCAGGAGGAACACCGGUGGUGUAAACGGCUUUCUGGACCAUAACUGACGCUGAGGCACGAAAGCGUGGGUAGCAAACAGG
This 253-nucleotide ribosomal RNA is filed under the name uncultured bacterium. RNAcentral's name for it is "partial 16S ribosomal RNA". It matches the Rfam family "Bacterial small subunit ribosomal RNA", at positions 524 to 776 of the family's 1533-position model. The record is from RNAcentral.